GCUGGCGGUAUGCCUAACACAUGCAAGUCGUACGAGAGUUUUUAACUCUAGUGGCGGACGGGUGAGUAACACGUGAGAAUUUACCUUUAGGAGGGGGAUAACAAUUGGAAACGAAUGCUAAUACCCCAUAUGCUUUAGAGUGAAAUGGAUUUAUAAUUAUCCGCCUAGAGAGAAGCUCGCGGCUGAUUAGCUUGUUGGUAAGGUAAGAGCUUACCAAGGCGACGAUCAGUAUCUGGUUUGAGAGGACGAUCAGACACACUGGAACUGAGACACGGUCCAGACUCCUACGGGAGGCAGCAGUGGGGAAUUUUCCGCAAUGGGCGAAAGCCUGACGGAGCAAUACCGCGUGAGGGAAGACUGCCUAUGGGUUGUAAACCUCUUUUUUCAGGGAGGAAUAAAAUGACGUGUACCUGAAGAAUAAGCAUCGGCUAACUCCGUGCCAGCAGCCGCGGUAAGACGGAGGAUGCAAGUGUUAUCCGGAAUCACUGGGCGUAAAGCGUCUGUAGGUGGUUUAAUAAGUCAACUGUUAAAUCUUGAGGCUCAACUUCAAAAUCGCAGUCGAAACUAUUAGACUAGAGUAUAGUAGAGGUAAAGGGAAUUUCCAGUGGAGCGGUGAAAUGCGUAGAUAUUGGAAAGAACACCGAUGGCGAAAGCACUUUACUGGGCUAUUACUAACACUCAGAGACGAAAGCUAGGGUAGCAAAUGGGAUUAGAUACCCCCAGUAGUCCUAG
Molecule: ribosomal RNA, 732 nt
Filed under: uncultured cyanobacterium
Lineage: Bacteria; Bacillati; Cyanobacteriota
Description: bacterial SSU rRNA
Rfam family: Bacterial small subunit ribosomal RNA
Source: RNAcentral